UACAGAGGUCUCAAGCGUUGUUCGGAUUCAUUGGGCGUAAAGGGUGCGUAGGCGGCGUGGUAAGUCGGGUGUGAAAUCUCGGAGCUUAACUCCGAAACUGCAUUCGAUACUGCCGUGCUUGAGGACUGGAGAGGAGACUGGAAUUUACGGUGUAGCGGUGAAAUGCGUAGAUAUCGCUUGGAACGCCAACGGAGAAAUCAGCAGGCUGGGGAUGUGCUGACGCUGAGACGCGAAAGCCAGGGGAGCAAACGGG
RNAcentral lists this ribosomal RNA (253 nucleotides) under uncultured bacterium. RNAcentral describes it as "partial 16S ribosomal RNA". It matches the Rfam family "Bacterial small subunit ribosomal RNA", at positions 524 to 776 of the family's 1533-position model. The record is from RNAcentral.